AGUGAACGCUGGCGGUAGGCCUAACACAUGCAAGUCGAACGGCAGCACAGUAAGAGCUUGCUCUUACGGGUGGCGAGUGGCGGACGGGUGGGGAAUACAUCGGAAUCUACUUUUUCGUGGGGGAUAACGUAGGGAAACUUACGCUAAUACCGCAUACGACCUACGGGUGAAAGCAGGGGAUCUUCGGACCUUGCGCGAUUGAAUGAGCCGAUGUCGGAUUAGCUAGUUGGCGGGGUAAAGGCCCACCAAGGCGACGAUCCGUAGCUGGUCUGAGAGGAUGAUCAGCCACACCGGAACUGAGACACGGUCCAGACUCCUACGGGAGGCAGCAGUGGGGAAUAUUGGACAAUGGGCGCAAGCCUGAUCCAGCCAUACCGCGUGGGUGAAGAAGGCCUUCGGGUUGUAAAGCCCUUUUGUUGGGAAAGAAAAGCAGCAGGUUAAUACCCCGCUGUUCUGACGGUACCCAAAGAAUAAGCACCGGCUAACUUCGUG
This 492-nucleotide ribosomal RNA is filed under the name uncultured bacterium. RNAcentral's name for it is "partial 16S ribosomal RNA". It matches the Rfam family "Bacterial small subunit ribosomal RNA", at positions 29 to 507 of the family's 1533-position model. The record is from RNAcentral.